RNAcentral lists this long non-coding RNA (357 nucleotides) under Androctonus crassicauda. The record is from RNAcentral. Lineage: Eukaryota; Metazoa; Arthropoda; Arachnida; Scorpiones; Buthidae.
GUUCUGUGCUUCAAAGCAUUAUUCCUUCAUCCCUGCACACAAUCUUUCCGCUCUUCCCUUUCUAAUGUCCCGAGCUGACUUCUAUUUGGCCAUCUCCUGCCGGUAAUUCUGCUGUUUCUCUCCUUUCUUUCCUCCUGCUGCUCAUGCCGUGUUUCCACGCCAUCGAGGGCUCCCGAAUUAUUCUGUCGUUCACCAAACUUUCUAUUCGUGAUCUGCCUAUUAUCUCAAGAGACUCUACUAUUGUUGGCUGCACAUUUCUCGUUACAGGUUUUAUACACCUAGCUUCUUCCCAUUUUAUUAUGACAUCCUUAUCAUAUGCCUCACGUGCCAAGGCAGUGUUCAAGUCCGCUCUUAAAA